RNAcentral lists this long non-coding RNA (405 nucleotides) under Capsella rubella. RNAcentral describes it as "long non-coding RNA (CRUB_LNC003057)". The record is from RNAcentral. Lineage: Eukaryota; Viridiplantae; Streptophyta; Magnoliopsida; Brassicales; Brassicaceae.
UUUGAUCUCUUCUUCCUUGUUCUCUAGAUCUAGAUGUCGCAAUAAGAUCUGAGAUCUGUGAAGAUGCGAGGAAAGCUUUAUCGACUUAAGGGUUCUUCCGCAUAGGUCACAAGGACAAUCAAAUCGAACCCACAAACACUAAUCCCUGACCUGAACUGUUGCAUUCGGUAGUAACAACAAUUAAAAACAACAAAUUGAUUCAAUUCAAUCGAAGAAGAAGCAGAUUAAGAAAAAAAAACAAAAAAGGAAAAUAAAUUUAACUAGUUAUCAGGUGGAAUCGAACCCACCAACCCCCUUUCACAAAAGUCACGUUUUGCCAUCUGACCAAAAUCAUUAUUGGCUAUUAAAUGAUACCAAUAGUUUAUAUACUUUUAAACAUCUGAAGUUAAAAUUUAACUCUGUUAU